This 492-nucleotide ribosomal RNA is filed under the name uncultured bacterium. RNAcentral's name for it is "partial 16S ribosomal RNA". It matches the Rfam family "Bacterial small subunit ribosomal RNA", at positions 29 to 507 of the family's 1533-position model. The record is from RNAcentral.
AGUGAACGCUGGCGGUAGGCCUAACACAUGCAAGUCGAACGGCAGCACAGUAAGAGCUUGCUCUUACGGGUGGCGAGUGGCGGACGGGUGAGGAAUACAUCGGAAUCUACUUUUUCGUGGGGGAUAACGUAGGGAAACUUACGCUAAUACCGCAUACGACCUACGGGUGAAAGCAGGGGAUCUUCGGACCUUGCGCGAUUGAAUGAGCCGAUGUCGGAUUAGCUAGUUGGCGGGGUAAAGGCCCACCAAGGCGACGAUCCGUAGCUGGUCUGAGAGGAUGAUCAGCCCAACUGGAACUGAGACACUGUCCAGACUCCUAAGGGAGGCAGCAGUGGGGAAUAUUGGACAAUGGGGGGAAGCCUGAUCCAGCCAUACCGCGUGGGUGAAGAAGGCCUUCGGGUUUUAAAGCCCUUUUGUUGGGAAAGAAAAGCAGCAGGUUAAUACCCCGCUGUUCUGACGGUACCCAAAGAAUAAGCACCGGCUAACUUCGUG